Molecule: ribosomal RNA, 433 nt
Filed under: uncultured bacterium
Lineage: Bacteria
Description: partial 16S ribosomal RNA
Rfam family: Bacterial small subunit ribosomal RNA
Source: RNAcentral
AACGAACGCUGGCGGCAUGCCUAACACAUGCAAGUCGAACGAGACCUUCGGGUCUAGUGGCGCACGGGUGCGUAACGCGUGGGAACCUGCCCUUAGGUUCGGAAUAACUCCCCGAAAGGGGUGCUAAUACCGGAUAAUGUCUUCGGACCAAAGAUUUAUCGCCUUUGGAUGGGCCCGCGUUGGAUUAGCUAGUUGGUAGGGUAAAAGCCUACCAAGGCGACGAUCCAUAGCUGGUCUGAGAGGAUGAUCAACCACACUGGGACUGAGACACGGCCCAGACUCCUACGGGAGGCAGCAGUGGGGAAUAUUGGACAAUGGGCGAAAGCCUGAUCCAGCAAUGCCGGGUGAGUGAUGAAGGCCUUAGGGUUGUAAAGCUCUUUUACCCGGGAUGAUAAUGACAGUACCGGGAGAAUAAGCGCCGGCUAACUCCGUG